Molecule: ribosomal RNA, 435 nt
Filed under: uncultured bacterium
Lineage: Bacteria
Description: partial 16S ribosomal RNA
Rfam family: Bacterial small subunit ribosomal RNA
Source: RNAcentral
AGCGAACGCUGGCGGCAGGCUUAACACAUGCAAGUCGAGCGGGCAUAGCAAUAUGUCAGCGGCAGACGGGUGAGUAACGCGUGGGAACGUACCUUUUGGUUCGGAACAACUGAGGGAAACUUCAGCUAAUACCGGAUAAGCCCUUACGGGGAAAGAUUUAUCGCCGAAAGAUCGGCCCGCGUCUGAUUAGCUAGUUGGUGAGGUAAUGGCUCACCAAGGCGACGAUCAGUAGCUGGUCUGAGAGGAUGAUCAGCCACAUUGGGACUGAGACACGGCCCAAACUCCUACGGGAGGCAGCAGUGGGGAAUAUUGGACAAUGGGCGCAAGCCUGAUCCAGCCAUGCCGCGUGAGCGAUGAAGGCCCUAGGGUUGUAAAGCUCUUUUGUGCGGGAAGAUAAUGACGGUACCGCAAGAAUAAGCCCCGGCUAACUUCGUG